GGGUGGGUCCGGCGCGGCGAGACCCUGUGAACCCCGCCAGGUCCGAGAGGAAGCAACGGUAAGCAGUGCGUUUUGGGCGCCGCCGGUCAGCCUGCCCGGA
Molecule: signal recognition particle RNA, 100 nt
Filed under: Anaerolineae bacterium
Lineage: Bacteria; Bacillati; Chloroflexota; Anaerolineae
Description: signal recognition particle sRNA small type
Rfam family: Bacterial small signal recognition particle RNA
About the family: The signal recognition particle (SRP) is a universally conserved ribonucleoprotein involved in the co-translational targeting of proteins to membranes. Archaeal SRP consists of a 7S RNA and homologues of the eukaryotic SRP19 and SRP54 proteins.
Source: RNAcentral